GAUGAACGCUAGCGGCAGGCUUAAUACAUGCAAGUCGAGGGGUAACAGGGGUAGCAAUACCUGCUGACGACCGGCAAACGGGUGCGGAACACGUACGCAACCUUCCCAAAACUGGUGAAUAGCCUUCCGAAAGGGAGAUUAAUACACCGUAACAUAAUGAAAUGGCAUCAUUUUAUUAUUAUAGCUCAGGCGGUUUUGGAUGGGCGUGCGCCUGAUUAGGUAGUUGGCGGGGUAACGGCCCACCCAAGCCUGCGAUCAGUAACUGGUGUGAGAGCACGACCAGUCACACGGGCACUGAGACACGGGCCCGGACUCCUACGGGAGGCAGCAGUAAGGAAUAUUGGUCAAUGGACGAAAGUACUGAACCAAGCCAUGCCGCGUGAAGGAUGAA
This 391-nucleotide ribosomal RNA is filed under the name uncultured bacterium. RNAcentral's name for it is "bacterial SSU rRNA". It matches the Rfam family "Bacterial small subunit ribosomal RNA", at positions 28 to 412 of the family's 1533-position model. The record is from RNAcentral.